Molecule: long non-coding RNA, 391 nt
Filed under: Androctonus crassicauda
Lineage: Eukaryota; Metazoa; Arthropoda; Arachnida; Scorpiones; Buthidae
Source: RNAcentral
GUGUGCUCUUAAACAUUUGGAAAACAUAGUUGACAAUGAUAAUAUAUUUCUAGUCCUUUUAGCUGGUUUAUCACUGAAGAAAAAAACUUGAUGUGGUGACAAGAUUAGGGCACAGUGAGAGUGCUGUGUCAUUGGUUAAGCUAAUGAGUGUUAAUGAGUCAAUUAUAAGGACUAUUAAAAAAAGUGAAAAAACAAUUAAACCUAGUGUUGCUAAUAGAACUGCUAGUAGUGCUAAAGUUACCUAUAUAUCCUAUAAUCAUAUUAUGAAAAGGAUGAAAAAGGCAUUUAAUAUUUGGAUUGAGGACCCAAACACAAAAGGGAGUUCGUUUAAGCAGUUUAGUGAUAAAUAAAAAAGCAUAUACAACAACUAGGACAGAAUUCUGGUCAGUCU